GCGGCCGCCCCGGGAGGAAGAGGAGAGGAGGAGGAGGAGGAGGAGGAGGACGAGGGGGAGGUGACAAACUCUCCGGCUCGGCGCGGCGGCCGGCAGCCCGCGGUCAGGCAUGCAGGCGCGGCGUCUAGCCAAGCGCUCCAGCCUGGGCAGCCGCCGGGGGAGCGCCGCGCUGCAGCCGGCCAGCCCCGCGCCCGCCCGGGAAGGCGCGCUGCCCGGGCUCCCGGCCCCGGAGAGCUGGAGGCCGCCGCUGCCGCCGCCGCGCAGCGCCGGGACCGGCCCCCCUCGGGCCGCCGGGGCCGCCGCCGCCUCGUCUCCGGUGCUGCUGCUUCUGGGGGAGGAAGACGAGGACGAAGAGGGCGGGAGCAGGCGGCGCAGGGGGCUCGGGAGGGUGCAGGCGAAGCCCCGAGGGGGCGCGGAGGAGGAGGAUGACGACGAGGAAGACGAGGACGAGGAGGUGGUCGUCGAGGUGGUGGACGGCGACGACGACGACGAGGACGGCGAGGAGCGCUUCGUGGCCCUCGGCCCCGGCCGCCCGCUCCCCAAGGGCCCGGCCCGGGGCACAUUGAAGGUGGGGAGCAUUAAACGGGAAAUGACCUUCACAUUUCAACCAGAGGACUUAAAACGUGACUCUAGUAAAAAAAUGUCUCAUCAACACUUGUUCCCCUUGGCCAUGGAGGAAGAUGUGAAAACAGCAGACACCAAAAAAGCCAACCGAGCCCUUGACCAUGAAAAAGAAAACACUCGCUCCAUCUGUCUCCUUGAACAAAAACGGAAAGUUGUUUCUUCCAAUAUUGAUGUUCCUCCAGCAAGGAAAUCUUCGGAGGAACUGGACAUGGACAAGGUGACAGCAGCAAUGGUACUAACCAGCUUGUCGACAAGCCCUUUGGUUCGGAGCCCUCCUGUGCGGCAGAAUGAGGGCCUGAGCGGAUCGUGGAAGGAGGGGGGCGGCGUGCCUUCCAGCAGCAGCAGCAGCGGCUACUGGAGCUGGAGCGCCCCCAGCGACCAGUCCAACCCGUCCACGCCGUCGCCGCCGCUGUCCGCCGACAGCUUCAAGCCCUUCCGCAGCCCCGCGCCCCCGGACGACGGCAUCGACGAGGCGGAGGCCAGCAACCUUCUCUUUGACGAGCCCAUUCCCAGGAAGCGCAAGAACUCCAUGAAGGUGAUGUUCAAAUGCCUCUGGAAAAACUGUGGGAAGGUUCUGAGCACGGCAGCUGGUAUCCAGAAGCACAUCCGGACCAUUCAUCUUGGGCGUGUUGGGGAGUCUGACUACAGUGACGGAGAGGAAGACUUUUACUACACUGAGAUCAAGCUCAACACAGACUCUGUGGCAGACGGACUGAGCAGCCUGGCCCCAGUUUCACCCUCCCAGUCGCUGGCUUCUCCUCCCACUUUCCCCAUCCCAGAUUCCAGCCGAACAGAAACUCCUUGUGGCAAAACCGAGACAAAAUUGAUGACACCCUUGAGCCGAUCCGCUCCCACCACCCUCUACCUCGUGCACACCGACCACGCUUACCAGGCCACGCCCCCUGUGACCAUCCCAGGAUCGGCCAAGUUCACCCCCAAUGGCAGCAGCUUCAGCAUUUCUUGGCAGUCUCCUCCAGUUACCUUCACCGGCAUUCCAGUGUCACCAACCCACAGUCACCCGGUGGGCACAGGAGAGCAGAGACAGCACACUCACACCGUCUUGUCCUCCCCACCCAGAGGGACGGUCAGCCUAAGGAAGCCCCGGGGAGAGGGCAAGAAGUGCCGGAAGGUGUACGGCAUGGAGAACCGCGACAUGUGGUGCACAGCCUGCCGCUGGAAGAAGGCCUGCCAGCGGUUCGUUGACUGAUGCCCAGGCCCCUGAUCGGUGCCCCAGACACUCCUGCCCUCACCUUGCGCUGAGGGUGUUGGAAAGCGCUUUUCCUUCUGAACAAAACACACUUGAAACCCAGGGAAGGCACUUCCGAGAACCUUGGUGAAAUCACAGCAAAAAACAAAAAAACAAGAAAGGUCACCACCCUCACUGUUCUUGCUGAGAACCCAGCCGAGAGCAGCUGUAACUACUUUUUUCCUUAAAAAGAAAAGGCAACUUUUUUUCUUUUUUUUGCUGUAUGUCUGGCUCUGAAAACUGUGGACUUCUGUAGCAAUCAAACCAACCAAGCCCAUUUUUCCUCGAAAGGAGGCCUAUUUUGAUAACCUUUCUGGAUAAUGCCGUUUCUGAGAUUUUCUUUUUUUUCUUUUUUUGACACUUAAAAAAAAAAAGCUACAUGUUACUACUCAGUAGCAUUUGUACAAAGAACGAUACCUGUUUUCAUUGUGAGUAGUCUUUUCCCUGUUCUCCAUCGGACUUUUGGGAGCAGUACACAUCCUGAUCUGCUGCCGGGAUAUAGCAGCACUCUGGGUAUCUUUCCUAUGUCCUUUUUGUUUGUUUGUUUGUUUUGUUUUGUUUUAAAGAACGGCCCCAAACUGAACCACGGUAGAGCUCUUACCUUGAAGGGCCCAGGAGGGCAUAAGCUUGAAAAGAGAUUGACAAUGGACAUCACCAGCAGACUUCAGCCCCAGCUGAGUUCAGGACAUCCCGCUGUCACUGUUGGGAAACGUCCGGGAGUCUUCCUUGGAAGCCUUCCCAGAGGGGCGGCCCAGCCCACUCUCUCCCUGCCACAAUGCACUCAAGACCUAGCAUGCAUUGCCAUCUGGGUAAGCCUCGUAGCUUCCUUCAGGGAUGCGAUGCCAACCGUAGCUCGGAUCUCUUCAUCACUGCUUAUCUGACAGUUGUUGCCAGAUACAUGACUUCAUUUGACCUUCCCUAGAACCCGGUGUAGAAUGAGAGUGUUUAAAAUGACCAUCACCACCUUCAAAGUCAACCCAGUUCAAGUGGUCUUGAACCUGGGAGUCAGCCUCAUUACUGCCUGCAGGAAGGAGGGAAAGAGCGUGUGAAAGCGCUGGUCAGACCUCAGUCUUCCAGAAUGGCUCUAGACCUGAGAAGACCCAGGGACCCGUGUUCUUCACCCAUCCUUACAUUCCAGUUCUGGCUGAUCAUUCAGAGAGCAGGUCGAUCAACAGACAACCUGCCACACUCAUCGCAAAGGAUUCACGCAGACUCCCUGGUAAAGAAGGACAAGGCAGAAACCUAAUCCUUUCACUUUGACUCAAAGUCCCCCUAAGCCCCUUUCCCCACCGGUCCCUUCCAGAGCAAAGCCAGUGGAGUGAUCAGGGCGGAGGAAGAGAGCUUUACAUUCAUUGCUCUAGGCCCUGACCUCUGCCCAGAGCAGGAGAACAGAAUUGACCUUUAUUAUGUGGAAAGGAGGUGGUUCCUGCGGGGUAUAAUUGUUUUACGUGUAUAUGGAUGCAAAGAGCAGGCUCUUCCAAUCUGCUUGUGUUGUGAAGCACGUGUCUCUCACCCUGGCGGAGCCCCCUUCCCAUGCUUGGGCACAGAUGGCCAAGAGAGAGAGCAAAGAGGCAGAGUUUUGAGGGCCAGUGGCUCCGCAGUUGGGAUUACCCCUCAGGGAUCUACAGUGUAGCAUAAUCAUAAACUACCCCCACCCAGGGGAAUUAAAAAAAAAAAAAGAUACAUCACUUUGCAGAUUACAGACCCUUGCUUUGCUUUUUAUGCCUUUUCCCCUAUAAUCUGCUAAUUGGAAAGCAAUGACUGUGACUUGACCAAGCCCUGUGAUGAUAGCAAAGCUUCUUCUUCCAAAGUAUCCCGACUGUUUGGGGGAAACUCUGUGAUCACUGGUAGAAAGCUUUAGCAUAGAUUUAGAUUUUUAGGGAAGAACUCAAUACCCCCGAAAUAUGCUCAUUCCGUGACUUCAAUAACUGAAAAUGUCCUGGGUGUAAAAUAACCCAGGCAUGAGGAUCAUAUAUGUUUUUUUUUAAAAAAAUGCCAUUAAUCAGUAUUUUCCUACAACAAGACCUUAAAUUCCUAUUUUUAUAAUUAAUGGUUGGACGAUAGUCAGCCAUUGAAACAUAAGCUCUCUGGAAUAACCAGAUACUAGUGUAGUUUCCAAAGUGUUUCAUGUAUCAAAAUCUAUAUACUUAGAGGAAGAACUCAGGAUAAGAAAAAAUCGCUAGGUCCCAAAGGGUUUGUGACUAUCAUCAAGUACAACAGCCGAGUGGCCCGCGGUCAUCGUUUUCAAAUGAGGGGGCCAGGGAGUGAGAGAAGCACAGUCAUCACAAAACCUCUGUUGCCCUUCAUCCAUGAUAAGGUUUUAAAACAUUCUACUUUUCAGAAUUAAGCCAUCCUUCAAACUGUUUUCUACACCAAAUCUAACCUUUUAAAAUGAGAUUAUAAAAUACCUAAAAUGGGGUAUGUAGUGGAAAUGCUGUCAGUAGAAAGCAUUGCUUUUUAGUGCCUGCUGAAGAAAAAAGAGAAAGAGAGAUGAAGCAGCCCUUCCUGUAUGAUGCUGGCAUUAACACGAUCGGCAUUAACUUGGAAUUGGGCACUCAUUCAAAAGCAAUGAGGCAAUGCUCUACAAUUUUUAGAGAUCUUUCAAAAUACAAUCUUACCACCAUUUGGAGUUAAGUACUGGCUUACAAAAGUCUUUAAUAUUCGUGAAUGAAUGUAAAAAGUUACAAACUAUGCAUUUUCAAAGAGUAAUGUUAUCGUGUAUCCAAUCCAAGUCAAUUUUUUUCAUAGAGACUUAACCACAACUGCAAAUUAUUCAAAACAGACUUCAAUGCAUAUCAUUAUGGGGUUGUAGGACUUCCAUCUAUAUAGUUCUAGCUGAUAUUUUUAAAGAUAGUUCAUUUUAACUUCAGACCCUAAACAAUUCGGCCACGAAGGUGAAUAAAGGAGAAAUGAUGUAUAUUUUACUUCUUCAGCAGAAAGGGGAAAUGUGGGCUGUUACAAAAAUGGGCCCAGUUUUUUUAGAGGUGAAUGUUCUAGUAACAAUGGAUUAACAAGCAAGGAAAACUGCAUGAAGUUAAUGAGUAUUGCCUUGGAUAAAUAUAGCAUAGGUUGUGUCUGUCUAUUGUGUUUAAGUCGCAAUCUAAGGAAAAUAACACUAUUCUCCAGAGGGUUUGGAUCAUAUAGUUUCAAAGAACAAAAAGUAAAAAUAUUGUCCAGCAAAGCAAAAUCAUUGGCCUUUUUUCCUGAAAUUACCUGGAGAUCAUUACUUCUAUUUUUUGGAAAGUCCAUAUAAAAUAUACACAUAUUACUUCAGUCCUCUUGUGGAUUUUGUAUUUUCAUGAAACCUUUUUCCCUAAGAAUUUAUCUUUGCUCCUCAAUCAGUACUUUCCUACAUUACUCGGCAUGAAAGAAGAGUCUUUCCUUCAUCUGACAAUGUUGAAAUAAAGAACUCCAUUUCUCUGCCAUUCCGGAUCUGUUCUGCGUCCAUUGAGAAAGUUUCUCAGCUGUUUGUGUGUAAAAUAUGGAAAAACACACUUCUAAACCUGGUACUUGUGGUUAUACUGGAUAUGUUUGCUACCUAUUUAGAAGUAAUUGGGGGCGGGAAUGUGUGUUUUUAUAUAAUUUUUAGCCAAAUUCAGAUGUUCUGAUACUACAUUUCUGACUGUAAAUACAGCCUGAGGAGGUUCAGGUUAAUAAACCUUUUAUGUGACUGUUCCUCAGCCAUGCUCCUUGCCAGCUUUGGGCACCUUGUACAUAGAUUUGUCGAAUGUUUAAAUGAUGUUGUUUUUCUAAAUGCUGUUCUCUCAAACAACUUUUUGAAUGUUUUUUGCUUUCCAUUGUUUGGGACUUUGUGUGUUGGUUUAAAAAAAAAAAAAAAAAAACUUUCCUAAAUAUUUAACACCAGGAAAACUAUUUCAAAUAAACUGGUGCUAACUGAAAUAGAAGGAAAAUUUCAGAUGGAAGAUUUACAGUGUAAAAUGUUGACACCAGUUAAACUAAACUGCACUUUCGCAAGGGGACAGCUGGCAUCUACCUGCGAUGGGCAUCUCAAGGACCACCGCAUGUUUACAGUUUCUGUGGCCCAUUUAAGCAUAAAAUACAGAAAUGGUGCUGUCCCCCCGGAGUUGAGGAUUUGCUGCGUUGGUCCUAUGGAAGCAUUUAAGUAGAAGUAAAGGUCUAUAGUAAGAAUCACCUUAGUAAUAGUCUUCUGGUCUUUGGACUUUCAUGUUCUGUAAUGCUUAGCUGUAACAAUGAAUAUGGUGUUGCCAAUCUAGUCUGACGUCAUCGUUGCCCUGUAUUUCCUGCGUGUAUGGUUCUACUUUGGGUUGCACUGGCACGUACCGAGCCAGAACACUGGACUUUCAGGAAGACCAUUCUGACUUCUACGGUGGCCACACACAUGCAUUUAAAUGCACUUGUAAUUGGUUAAUUACCAUGAAGUCUAAC
This is an RNA transcript of Hippopotamus amphibius kiboko, 6277 nucleotides long. It is a transcript of the gene named zinc finger protein 704, with no coding region annotated. NCBI's taxonomy places the organism in Eukaryota, Metazoa, Chordata, Mammalia, Artiodactyla, Hippopotamidae. The transcript is spliced from 11 exons. The record is from RefSeq and is a predicted model, not a curated record.